This 24-nucleotide microRNA is filed under the name Ophiophagus hannah (king cobra). Its description in RNAcentral is "oha-miR-1905". Lineage: Eukaryota; Metazoa; Chordata; Lepidosauria; Squamata; Elapidae. The record is from miRBase by way of RNAcentral.
CACCACUAGCCCGACCACACGGUA